Molecule: transfer RNA, 73 nt
Filed under: Pennahia pawak (Pawak croaker)
Lineage: Eukaryota; Metazoa; Chordata; Actinopteri; Sciaenidae
Description: tRNA-Val
Rfam family: tRNA
About the family: Transfer RNA (tRNA) molecules are approximately 80 nucleotides in length.
Source: RNAcentral
CAGGUCAUAGCUAAAAUAUCUAUAGCAACUCCCUUACACUGAGUAGUUAUCCGUUCAAAUCGGAUUGCCCUGA